CUAACAGGUGUCUGGCACUUCAUCACCCUGAACAUAGUGGGAAGGCUAUAAUUGGCUUUCUUUACUAAGAGGGAGGAACCAAGCUCCCUGAGUGAAUGAUGGUUUGACUUUUUCUGUGAAGAACAAGCAUAAAAGGCAAGAAGAACCUGAGGACAGGUUUUAGUGAAGAUUCUCCCAGGACACACUGAUCUGCUAGGUGGUUCCCAGCACCAAGCCUAGCCAAAGUGCUACACCUGCUAAAGGAUGUUUCCUCUGUUAUCCGUUCGGACAAGCUAUUAGGGUCUUGCUAAGUUUUUGAAGCUCGACUGAAACAUGCAAACCACCUGUGUCAGCCUCCCAAGUUGCUGGAAAUACAGGCAUCCACCAUGGCACCAGACUAAAGAAGAAUUUUCUGAGGAUAAUAUUGGCACUAUACAAUUUUGCCUUACUAAUUUUCAAGCUUAACCUCAAAUGAGAUGACUUAUGUAUACAGACAACCCUAAGGAAACAAAAACAAAACCUAUUAGAAUAAACAACUUCAGCAAGGUGCAAGACACAAGACAAAUAUACAAAAAUCAAUUAUAUUUCUGUACAUUACAAUAAACAGGGGCUGGGGAUGUGGCUCAAGCGGUAGCGCGCUCGCCUGGCAUGCGUGCAGCCCGGGUUCGAUCCUCAGCACCACAUACAAACAAAGAUGUUGUGUCCGCCGAAAACUAAAAAAUAAAUAUUAAAAUCUUUCUCUCUCUCUCUCUCUCUCUCUCCCUCCCUCUCUCACUCUAUCUUAAAAAAAAAAACAAUAAACAGUCUGAACAUGAAACUAAGAAAUAAAUUUCAUCUAUGUUAACAUCAAAAAGAAAAAAUAAACCAGGCAUGGGGUUGUACUCACCUGUAAUCCCAGCUACUUGGGAGGCUGAGGCAGGAGGAUUGCAAGUUUAAGGCCAGCCUGGGCAACUAAGUGAGAUCCUGUCUCAAAACUUAAAAAAAGAAAAAAAAAAAGAAAAAAUCAGAAUAAACUUAGUAGAAGUGAAUACUUACAACUGAAAACUAUAAAACAUUAUAGUUUUAUUAUUGUAAGACAUUAAAAAGAUAAAUGAAAAGACUUCCCACAUUUGUGAAUUGGAAGACUUAAAAUUGUUAAAUUAUUAAUACUCCCCAAAUUGAUGUGCAUAUUCCAUGCGAUCUCUAUCAGAAUCCCUGCUAGCUUCCUUAUAGAAAUUGAGAAGCUGAUUCUAAAAUUCAUAUGGAACUUCCAGAAACUCAGAAUGUCAAAAAAAAAAUAUUGAAAAUGAAGAACAAAGUUGGAGGACUCAUACUUACUCAUCUCAAACUUACUUCAAAAUAGUAUCAAGAUAGUAUGGUACUGGCAUAGAGACAUCUAAAUCAAUAGAAUAAGAUUGAGAGUUUAAGAAUAAACCCAUAUCUAAAUAGUCACAUGAUUUUCAACUAGCCAAGAUAAUUCAACUAAGUUGCCAAGAAUAGUCUUGUCAACAGAUGAUACUGGUACAACUGGAUAACCCCAGGUGAAAGAAUGAAGUUGGAUCACUACCUCAUACCAUAUACAGAAACUAACUCAAAAUGGAUCAUUGACCAUUUUGACCAUUGGACUAUAAAAUUCUUAAAAGACACUAAGAGUUACUUCACUACAAAACUCUAAGAAGAAAACAUAGAUGUAAAUCUUCAUCACCUUUUGAUUUCCCAGAUGUGACACCAAAAGCACAAAAGCAACAAAAAAGUCACAUACCAGGUGUGGUGGUGCAUGCCUAAAUCCCAGCAACUGGGGAGGCUGAGGCAGGAGGAUUGCAAGUUUGAGGCCAGCCUCAGCAACUUAAUGAGACCCUGUCUCAAAAAAUUAAAAGGGGAUGUAGCUUAGUGGGGGAUCACCCCUGGGUUCAAUCCCCAGUACCACACAAAAAAAGUUAGAGUUAACAUAUGGCCCCCCAAAUUCUACUCCUAGAUACAUAACCAAAAGAAUAAAAAACAUAUGUCUACACAAAAGUUUGUAUAUGACUGUUCACAGCUGUAUUAUUGAAAAUAGCCCUAAGUGGAAACAACUCAAAUUUGUCUAUCAACUGAUGAAUAGAUAAAUACACUUUGAUUUCCAUACAAUGGAGUGUUGUUCAGCAAUAAAAAGAAUGGGGUACUGAUACAUAAUACAACAUGGAUAUACCUUGAAAACAUUAUGCUAAGUAAAAAAAAUUCAGAAAUAAGUGCUGGGGUUGUAACUCAGUGGUAGUCUGCCGCGCAACCAGCACGCUAGCUUCAUACUAGAGGUCCUAAGCAUAGAAGUUAACUAGUGAGAUCAAAAUAAAGACACAUAACUCAAUUUACCUUUUUCUUCCCCAGUUCAGAGACAGCCCUUCCUGGCUCCUGCCUCGAGCCACCUGGUGGGGUAGCGAGAUUUAUAUAAGAGACUAGCAGGAGAGAGGGGGAACACGCCAGAGAGUUGGCUUUUAUUGGGGAAUAAGAAAUUCAGGGGAAAAUUCCAUCCAAUGAAGGUCAACAUUCCAAGGUCAGGGUCAGUGAUUGGUCUCAGGGUCAAUGGUCAGUCACACCCCCACACAGAUGGGCUCUCGAACCUAAAGAGGGUGGGGAUAAGUUCUGACAUAGCUUGCCAGAACACCUCACACCCAGUCAGGGAGGUGCCCAAUCAUGGGUGAGAAUGGCUUCCCACAGUAGAGCGCUUACCUAGCACAUGUGAGGCACUGGGUUUGAUCCUCAGCACCACAUAAAAAUAAAUAAAAUAAAGGUAUGUGUCCAUCUAAAACUAAAAUAAAUAAAUAAAUAAAUUCAGAAAUAAAAGGACCCAAAUUAUGUGAGUAUAUUUAUAGGAAAUGUUCAGAUAGGCAAAUCCAUAGACAUAGAAAGUAGGUUUGUAGUUGCCUGGGGAAAAAGAGCUAGUUUAGGCUACAGAGUUAUAGAAAGGGGUAAAAAGUUUCUUUUCAGAAUGAUGAAAAUUUUCAGCAAUUAGAUAAUGGUGAGAGUUGUGCAAGUCUGAAUAUGUUUAAAAUCAUGUGAUUGCACACUUUAAAAAAAACAUAAGAGGGGGCUGGGGUUGUGACUCAGUGGUAGAGUGCUCACCUAGCAUGUGCGGGGCACUGGGUUCGAUCCUCAGCAUCAUAUAAAAAAUAAAAUAAAGGUAUUGCAUCCAACUACAACUAAAAAAAAAUAUUAAAAAAAAAACACAAGAAAGAUCAU
Long non-coding RNA from Marmota monax (woodchuck), 3174 nucleotides. RefSeq lists it as uncharacterized. The record is from RefSeq and is a predicted model, not a curated record. The transcript is spliced from 3 exons. Lineage: Eukaryota; Metazoa; Chordata; Mammalia; Rodentia; Sciuridae.